AAAACCUGGGUCAAAAAUUGGGUAGCAACAGAUGCCCCCUCUUUACAAUGCUUACGAAGCAAAACUCCUCAAAAUUUUGCAUAGUAAGCUUUGUAAAGAAAACAAAAGGAAGAUGAUUUCAUUAUCUUGGGCGACCUGCCCACACACUCACACUGAUCUAUUUUCACGGGCGACCUGCCCACACAUAUUCACUCUAGUCUAUUUUCACGGGCGACCGACCCACACUCUCC
Molecule: long non-coding RNA, 230 nt
Filed under: Populus tremula
Lineage: Eukaryota; Viridiplantae; Streptophyta; Magnoliopsida; Malpighiales; Salicaceae
Description: long non-coding RNA (PTRE_LNC001391)
Source: RNAcentral